ACAUGUGGUGCACAUACAUACGUGUAGGCAUGAACAGGUACUUGAAUGCACAUGUGUAUGCAUGCCACAACAUGCAUCAGGGUUGGAGGGCAGCUUGCAGGAAUUGGUUCUUUCUUUUCAUAUGGUACCAAGAGGUUGGACUGAGGCAGUGAGGCCUGGCCCCAGGCAUUUCAAACAGGAACAACGCCUGAAAUACCAUGCACAUGUCAGCUACUGCAGGAAGCCACGUAGCUUGUGUGUUUCCACUUUUCUUCUUGGAUGCCACAUUUGCCACUGCUUUCUGGUGACUCCAGUGGCAUGCUGACACCUCCAGGAAGACAGACAGCCAGGAAGUUCGGGCAGCAGACCUGUGUCUACAUGAGCAGAGUUUAGUCGGUUUGCAUAUUCUUCCCUCAAAGGGUUGUUUUUGGUUUUGUUUUUAAUAACUACUUGUAAAUUGGAAGGAAAACAAGAAGAUUGAAAAUAAAUAAACAUGUGAGGUAUAGAA
This 487-nucleotide long non-coding RNA is filed under the name Rattus norvegicus (Norway rat). RNAcentral describes it as "long non-coding RNA NONRATT008096". Lineage: Eukaryota; Metazoa; Chordata; Mammalia; Rodentia; Muridae. The record is from RNAcentral.